GUAGGGAAUCUUCCACAAUGGACGCAAGUCUGAUGGAGCAACGCCGCGUGAGUGAAGAAGGUUUUCGGACCGUAAAGCUCUGUUGUUGGUGAAGAAGGAUAGAGGUAGUAACUGGCCUUUAUUUGACGGUAAUCAACCAGAAAGUCACGGCUAACUACGUGCCAGCAGCCGCGGUAAUACGUAGGUGGCAAGCGUUGUCCGGAUUUAUUGGGCGUAAAGCGAGCGCAGGCGGAAGAAUAAGUCUGAUGUGAAAGCCCUCGGCUUAACCGAGGAAUUGCAUCGGAAACUGUUUUCUUGAGUGCAGAAGAGGAGAGUAGGACUCCAUGUGUAGCGGUGGAAUGCGUAGAUAUAUGGAAGAAUACCAGUGGCGAAGGCGGCUCUCUGGUCUGCAACUGACGCUGAGGCUCGAAAAGCAUGGGUAGCGAACAGGAUUAGAUACCCUGGUAGUCCAUGCCGUAAACGAUGAGUGCUAAGUGUUGGGAGGCUUCCGCCUCUCAGUGCUGCAGCUAACGCAUUAAGCACUCCGCCUGGGGGAGUACGACCGC
Molecule: ribosomal RNA, 545 nt
Filed under: uncultured bacterium
Lineage: Bacteria
Description: partial 16S ribosomal RNA
Rfam family: Bacterial small subunit ribosomal RNA
Source: RNAcentral